ACAGUCGUGGCCAUGUGGUUAAGGCGAUGAACUAGAAAUCCACUGGGGUCUCCCCGCACAGGUUCGAAUCCUGUCGACUGCG
Molecule: transfer RNA, 82 nt
Filed under: Ixodes scapularis (black-legged tick)
Lineage: Eukaryota; Metazoa; Arthropoda; Arachnida; Ixodida; Ixodidae
Rfam family: tRNA
About the family: Transfer RNA (tRNA) molecules are approximately 80 nucleotides in length. Their secondary structure includes four short double-helical elements and three loops (D, anti-codon, and T loops).
Source: Rfam by way of RNAcentral